CUGAGAGGGUGAUCGGCCACACUGGGACUGAGACACGGCCCAGACUCCUUCGGGAGGCAGCAGUAGGGUAUUUUCAGCAAUGGACGCAAGUCUGACCGAGCAACGCCGCGUGAGUGAAGAAGGUUUUCGGAUCGUAAAACUCUGUAGUUAGAGAAGAACAAAAAUGAGAGGGAAAGUUCAUCCCUUGACGGUAUCUAACCAGAAAGC
Molecule: ribosomal RNA, 207 nt
Filed under: uncultured Enterococcus sp.
Lineage: Bacteria; Bacillati; Bacillota; Bacilli; Lactobacillales; Enterococcaceae
Description: partial 16S ribosomal RNA
Rfam family: Bacterial small subunit ribosomal RNA
Source: RNAcentral